CCUACGGGUGGCAGCAGUGGGGAAUAUUGCGCAAUGGGCGAAAGCCGGACGCAGCGACGCCGCGUGAGGGAUGAAGGUCUGCGGAUCGUAAACCUCUGUCAGCAGGGAAGAAAGGUCACGGGGCUAAGCAGCAGUGAAUUGACGGUACCGGCAAAGGAAGCACCGGCUAACUCCGUGCCAGCAGCCGCGGUAAUACGGAGGGUGCGAGCGUGAAUCGGAAUUACUGGGCGUAAAGCGCGCGUAGGCGGUAUGUCAAGUCAAGGGGGACAUCCCCGCUCUCAACGUGGGAACUGCCUUUGAAACUGGCACCCUGGUGUGUGUGAGCGGCUAGUGGAAUUCCAGGUGU
Molecule: ribosomal RNA, 346 nt
Filed under: uncultured bacterium
Lineage: Bacteria
Description: partial 16S ribosomal RNA
Rfam family: Bacterial small subunit ribosomal RNA
Source: RNAcentral